AGUGAACGCUGGCGGUAGGCCUAACACAUGCAAGUCGAACGGCAGCACAGUAAGAGCUUGCUCUUACGGGUGGCGAGUGGCGGACGGGUGAGGAAUACAUCGGAAUCUACUUUUUCGUGGGGGAUAACGGAGGGAAACUUACGCUAAUACCGCAUACGACCUACGGGUGAAAGCAGGGGAUUUUGGGACCUUGCGGGAUUGGCUGAGCCGAUGUCGGAUUAGCUUGUUGGCGGGGUAAAGGCCCACCAAGGCGACGAUCCGUAGCUGGCCUGAGAGGAUGACCGGCGACACUGGUACUAAGGUACGGCCCAGACUGCUACGGGAGGCAGCAGGGGGGAAUAUUGCACAAUGGGCGCAAGCCUGAUGCAGCGACGUCGCGGUAGUGAUGACGGCCUUCGGGUUGUAAACCUCUUUCGAUUGGGACGAAGCUCAAGUGACGGUACCUAAAGAAGAAGCACCGGCCAACUACGUG
This 472-nucleotide ribosomal RNA is filed under the name uncultured bacterium. RNAcentral describes it as "partial 16S ribosomal RNA". It matches the Rfam family "Bacterial small subunit ribosomal RNA", at positions 29 to 507 of the family's 1533-position model. The record is from RNAcentral.